This 128-nucleotide ribosomal RNA is filed under the name uncultured eukaryote. Its description in RNAcentral is "partial small subunit ribosomal RNA". It matches the Rfam family "Eukaryotic small subunit ribosomal RNA", at positions 1651 to 1778 of the family's 1831-position model. The record is from RNAcentral.
CCCUGCCAUUUGUACACACCGCCCGUCGCACCUACCGAUUGAAUGGUCCGGUGAAGCCUCGGGAUUGUGGUUAUUUUCCUUUAUUGGAAGUUAGUCACGAGAACCUGUCUAAACCUUAUCAUUUAGAG